RNAcentral lists this transfer RNA (76 nucleotides) under Brochothrix campestris. RNAcentral's name for it is "tRNA-Val". It matches the Rfam family "tRNA". Rfam says of the family: Transfer RNA (tRNA) molecules are approximately 80 nucleotides in length. Their secondary structure includes four short double-helical elements and three loops (D, anti-codon, and T loops). The record is from RNAcentral. Lineage: Bacteria; Bacillati; Bacillota; Bacilli; Caryophanales; Listeriaceae. RNAcentral also lists the same sequence under 3 other names.
GGGGGUUUAGCUCAGCUGGGAGAGCAUCUGCCUUACAAGCAGAGGGUCGGCGGUUCGAGCCCGUCAACCCCCACCA